UGCAAGUCGAGCGAUGGAUUGAGAGCUUGCUCUCAAGAAGUUAGCGGCGGACGGGUGAGUAACACGUGGGUAACCUGCCCAUAAGACUGGGAUAACUCCGGGAAACCGGGGCUAAUACCGGAUAACAUUUUGAACUGCAUGGUUCGAAAUUGAAAGGCGGCUUCGGCUGUCACUUAUGGAUGGACCCGCGUCGCAUUAGCUAGUUGGUGAGGUAACGGCUCACCAAGGCAACGAUGCGUAGCCGACCUGAGAGGGUGAUCGGCCACACUGGGACUGAGACACGGCCCAGACUCCUACGGGAGGCAGCAGUAGGGAAUCUUCCGCAAUGGACGAAAGUCUGACGGAGCAACGCCGCGUGAGUGAUGAAGGCUUUCGGGUCGUAAAACUCUGUUGUUAGGGAAGAACAAGUGCUAGUUGAAUAAGCUGGCACCUUGACGGUACCUAACCAGAAAGCCACGGCUAACUACGUGCCAGCAGCCGCGGUAAUACGUAGGUGGCAAGCGUUAUCCGGAAUUAUUGGGCGUAAAGCGCGCGCAGGUGGUUUCUUAAGUCUGAUGUGAAAGCCCACGGCUCAACCGUGGAGGGUCAUUGGAAACUGGGAGACUUGAGUGCAGAAGAGGAAAGUGGAAUUCCAUGUGUAGCGGUGAAAUGCGUAGAGAUAUGGAGGAACACCAGUGGCGAAGGCGACUUUCUGGUCUGUAACUGACACUGAGGCGCGAAAGCGUGGGG
This 729-nucleotide ribosomal RNA is filed under the name Bacillus thuringiensis. RNAcentral describes it as "bacterial SSU rRNA". It matches the Rfam family "Bacterial small subunit ribosomal RNA", at positions 56 to 766 of the family's 1533-position model. Lineage: Bacteria; Bacillati; Bacillota; Bacilli; Caryophanales; Bacillaceae. The record is from RNAcentral.